RNAcentral lists this unclassified non-coding RNA (359 nucleotides) under soil metagenome. Its description in RNAcentral is "partial contains 5.8S ribosomal RNA, internal transcribed spacer 2, and large subunit ribosomal RNA". The stretch from base 1 to 120 matches the Rfam family "5.8S ribosomal RNA", at positions 35 to 154 of the family's 154-position model. The record is from RNAcentral.
GAUGAAGAACGUAGCGAAAUGCGAUAAGUAAUGUGAAUUGCAGAAUUCAGUGAAUCAUCGAAUCUUUGAACGCACAUUGCGCCCGUCAGUAUUCUAGCGGGCAUGCCUGUUCGAGCGUCAUUACGCCCCUCAAGUCCCCUGUGGACUUGGUGUUGGGGAUCGGCGAGGCUGGUUUUCCAGCACAGCCGUCCCUUAAAUUAAUUGGCGGUCUCGCCGUGGCCCUCCUCUGCGCAGUAGUAAAACACUCGCAACAGGAGCCCGGCGCGGUCCACUGCCGUAAAACCCCCCAACUUUUUAUAGUUGACCUCGAAUCAGGUAGGACUACCCGCUGAACUUAAGCAUAUCAAUAAGGCGGAGGA